This 477-nucleotide ribosomal RNA is filed under the name uncultured bacterium. RNAcentral's name for it is "partial 16S ribosomal RNA". It matches the Rfam family "Bacterial small subunit ribosomal RNA", at positions 28 to 506 of the family's 1533-position model. The record is from RNAcentral.
GAUGAACGCUAGCGGCAGGCCUAACACAUGCAAGUCGAGGGAGAAGCCCUUGCGGGGGCAGAAACCGGCGCACGGGAGCGUAACGCGUAUGCAACCUACCUUUCACAGGGGGAUAGCCAGAAGUAAUUUGGAUUAAUACCCCAUAAUAUUAUUGGAUGGCAUCAUUUGAUAAUGAAAACUGCGGUGGUGAAAGAUGGGCAUGCGUCCUAGUAGCUAGUUGGAGUGGUAACGGCAUCCCAAGGCUACGAUAGGUAGGGGUCCUGGGAGGGAGAUCCCCCACACGGGUCCUGCGACAGGGGCCAGACUCCUCCGCGCGGAAGCCGUGGGGAGUCAGGGGCAAUGGUCGUAAGACUGAACCAGCAAGGCCGCGUGCAGGAAGAAUGCCUUAUGAGUUGUAACCUGCUUUUAUAUGCGAAGAAUACGGCGUACGUGUACGUUGAUGACGGUACCAUAUGAAUAGGCAUCGGCUACCUCCGG